RNAcentral lists this ribosomal RNA (496 nucleotides) under uncultured bacterium. Its description in RNAcentral is "partial 16S ribosomal RNA". It matches the Rfam family "Bacterial small subunit ribosomal RNA", at positions 29 to 507 of the family's 1533-position model. The record is from RNAcentral.
AUGAACGCUGGCGGCGUGCCUAAUACAUGCAAGUCGAGCGAACAGACGAGGAGCUUGCUCCUCUGACGUUAGCGGCGGACGGGUGAGUAACACGUGGAUAACCUACCUAUAAGACUGGGAUAACUUCGGGAAACCGGAGCUAAUACCGGAUAAUAUAUUGAACCGCAUGGUUCAAUAGUGAAAGACGGUUUUGCUGUCACUUAUAGAUGGAUCCGCGCCGCAUUAACUAGUUGGUAAGGUAACGGCUUACCAAGGCAACGAUGCGUAGCCGACCUGAGAGGGUGAUCGGCCACACUGGAACUGAGACACGGUCCAGACUCCUACGGGAGGCAGCAGUAGGGAAUCUUCCGCAAAGGGCGAAAGCCUGACGGAGCAACGCCGCGUGAGUGAUGAAGGUCUUCGGAUCGUAAAACUCUGUUAUUAGGGAAGAACAAAUGUGUAAGUAACUAUGCACGUCUUGACGGUACCUAAUCAGAAAGCCACGGCUAACUACGUG